CAAAAACAUCGCCUUUUGACAAAUUAUAAAAGGUCAAGCCUGCCCAGUGACAUUGUUCAACGGCCGCGGUAUCCUAACCGUGCGAAGGUAGCGUAAUCACUUGUUCUUUAAAUGAGGACUAGUAUGAACGGCUUCACGAAAGCUAUACUGUCUCCUUUAUCUAAUCAGUUAAACUAAUCUCCCCGUGAAGAAGCGGGGAUACCCAUAUAAGACGAGAAGACCCUAUGGAGCUUUAAAUAUCUUUAGACAUUUGAAUAUACACACUCUUAAACCACUAAAUUAAUCAUUUUGUAUUAAAUUUUAGGUUGGGGCGACCACGGAGAAAAAACCAACCUCCACAUGGAAAGAAACUCCCUUCUAAGCAAAAAGCUACAUCUUUAUGCAUCAACACAUUGACCUUAAUUGACCCAAUUGAUUGAUCAACGAACCAAGUUACCCUAGGGAUAACAGCGCAAUCCGCUUUGAGAGCUCCUAUCGACAAGCGGGCUUACGACCUCGAUGUUGGAUCAGGGCAUCCCAGUGGUGCAGCAGCUACUAAAGGUUCG
This 545-nucleotide ribosomal RNA is filed under the name Allobates masniger group sp. ABGD cluster 31. RNAcentral describes it as "partial large subunit ribosomal RNA". It matches the Rfam family "Bacterial large subunit ribosomal RNA", at positions 1808 to 2575 of the family's 2925-position model. Lineage: Eukaryota; Metazoa; Chordata; Amphibia; Anura; Aromobatidae. The record is from RNAcentral.